RNAcentral lists this ribosomal RNA (484 nucleotides) under uncultured bacterium. RNAcentral's name for it is "partial 16S ribosomal RNA". It matches the Rfam family "Bacterial small subunit ribosomal RNA", at positions 30 to 507 of the family's 1533-position model. The record is from RNAcentral.
AUUGAACGCUGGCGGCAGGCCUAACACAUGCAAGUCGAGCGGAUGAAGGGAGCUUGCUCCUGGAUUCAGCGGCGGACGGGUGAGUAAUGCCUAGGAAUGUGCCUGGUAGUGGGGGAUAACGUCCGGAAACGGGCGCUAAUACCGCAUACGUCCUGAGGGAGAAAGCGGGGGAUCUUCGGACCCCACGCUAUCAGAUGACCCUAGGUCGGAUUAGCUAGUUGGUGGGGUAAAGGCCUACCAAGGCGACGAUCCGUAACUGGUCUGAGAGGAUGAUCAGUCACACUGGAACUGAGACACGGUCCAGACUCCUACGGGAGGCAGCAGUGGGGAAUAUUGGACAAUGGGCGAAAGCCUGAUCCAGCCAUGCCGCGUGUGUGAAGAAGGUCUUCGGAUUGUAAAGCACUUUAAGUUGGGAGGAAGGGCAGUAAGUUAAUACCUUGCUGUUUUGACGUUACCAACAGAAUAAGCACCGGCUAACUUCGUG